Molecule: ribosomal RNA, 376 nt
Filed under: uncultured organism
Description: partial 16S ribosomal RNA
Rfam family: Bacterial small subunit ribosomal RNA
Source: RNAcentral
GUAGGUGGCAAGCGUUGUCCGGAAUUAUUGGGCGUAAAGCGCGCGCAGGCGGUUCUUUAAGUCUGAUGUGAAAGCCCACGGCUCAACCGUGGAGGGUCAUUGGAAACUGGAGAACUUGAGUACAGAAGAGGAAAGCGGAAUUCCACGUGUAGCGGUGAAAUGCGUAGAGAUGUGGAGGAACACCAGUGGCGAAGGUGGCUUUCUGGUCUGUAACUGACGCUGAGGCGCGAAAGCGUGGGGGAGCAAACAGGAUUAGAUACCCUGGUAGUCCACGCCGUAAACGAUGAGUGCUAAGUGAUAGGGGGUUUCCGCCCCCCCCUUAGUGCUGCAGCUAACGCAUUAAGCACUCCGCCUGGGGAGUACGGCCGCAAGGCUG